CCUACGGGAGGCAGCAGUGGGGAAUAUUGGGCAAUGGAGGAAACUCUGACGCAGCAACGCCGCGUGAAUGAUGAAGGUCUUCGGAUUGUACAGUUCUUUUCUAAGGGAAGAAGAAAGUGACGGUACCUUAGGAAUAAGCCUCGGCUACCUACGGGCCAGCAGCCGCGGUAAUACGUAGGAGGCAAGCGUUAUCCGGGAGGACUGGGCGUAAAGGGUGCGGAGGUGGUUUGAAAAGUUGGUAGCGUAACUCCGGGGCUCAACCUCGGCACUACUACCAAGACUGGUGGGCUUGAGUGCAGGAGGGGCAAAUAGAAUGCCUAGUGUAGCGGUGGAAUGCGUAGAUAUUAGGAGGAACACCAGUGGCGAAGGCGAUUUGCUGGACUGUAACUGACACUGAGGCACGAAAGCGUGGGGAGCAAACAGGAUUAGAUACCCUAGUAGUC
Molecule: ribosomal RNA, 443 nt
Filed under: uncultured bacterium
Lineage: Bacteria
Description: partial 16S ribosomal RNA
Rfam family: Bacterial small subunit ribosomal RNA
Source: RNAcentral